Molecule: long non-coding RNA, 2291 nt
Organism: Columba livia (rock pigeon)
Lineage: Eukaryota; Metazoa; Chordata; Aves; Columbiformes; Columbidae
Exons: 3
Source: RefSeq, a predicted model, not a curated record
CAUCUAAAAGGGGAGGGAAAGCUCCAUUUCCAGGAUAGAAGGCAUAAUAUUGAAAUGAUCCAUCACAGUUGAUGUACCCAGAUGGCUUUACGAAAGAGAGACAGGGAAUGGAUUGCCCAGUUCACUGCAUUUAAAGCAACAAAGCUGAGAAGUAAAUCCUCAUGCUAUUGGAUCCAGUUUCCUGUACAGGAGAUACACUGGAUCUACUGCUUAAAAAAAAAAAAAAGAAGUAAAAUAAAAAUUGAGGGUUGUACAAAAGACUUCUGCAUAUUAUAUAGUACAGUACACCUCCAAUGAACAGGACAAAGACCAGGUGUGUAGAUGGACAAAGAAAGAAAGAGUUAAUCUUUAGUGCCUGAACUAAAACGGAAACUGAACUGACCUUGGCAGAGAGCAAGCACUGGUCAAGCACACUGGUACCCAGGUUACACGUUCACGCAUUCUCCUUUUCAUCAAGUGAAAUGGUGACAUGCUCUGGGAUCCCUCCGGAUGAAAGCUGCUACGGAACCCUGGAAAAACUGUCACUACUGCCUUGUCAUGCUUCAUGUGCUUCUUCAGUGAAAUACCUUUAAAGAAGCAUCCCACUUCUCUGGGGGUUCCCACUGGUUCACGGUGCAAUGAUGUGAAGCUGCAACACAAUAAAGUUUUGAGAAACAAAACCACACGGCAACUGAUGACCACCAAAAUCACAGAGAGCUCAGGAGAGAAUGAUCGAUAUUUGAAACGUACAUCUCCACCUCCUUCUCUGAGCUGCGAUGCUCGCUAGCAACGGAAAGGCUGUGAUGAGGCUCUGGCGUCAUUGCUCAGAGAUGUGAUUGAUGAUGACUGUGCUGGAGACUGGGAGAAGAUUGGUUUCUGGGGCUGAUUGAUAAAGUCUAUCAUGCAGCGUGAAACAGCUGGGAAGAAAAAUAAUGGGCCAUCUGAUUCUUUCUAACAGUGAAUAUUUACUGAGGGAUUUUCCUGAUUAAUUCGUAAUUAUAUAAUCUUGCUUUUCGAGAUGAAUAUCACUAGGUCUUCCCUUUGUUAACCGAGAUGGUCUGACCAGUUAAUUAAGGCCAAGGUAUGUUUAUGGGAUAUCACUGGAAGCCACAAACGUUUCUUUUGGCUGGAGUGAUGAGCUGAGCUGUUCAGGCAGUCUUGCUUAGCACGAGAAAGACCCAGUCAAAGAACCCAUUUAAGGGGUUCACCUUCCCUGGUAGCAAAGAAACAUGAAUUAAUGAUUGGAUAGGAGACAGAUAAUGGUGGGGUUGAGGUUUCAGUGCAUUUUCAUGUAUAUUUCAUAGACUUGUUUGCUUUUUGAUGUUUAAAGCUCGUUGAUUAUUCUUUUUAAUCCUUUUUUCUAGAUUUUCUUAAGUGGCAGUUGCAGAUUCUGACACAGAGGCUGGAGCAGGUGAGCUGCUCCUCCACAGCUAACAAUGACACGACAGAUGAUCUCUAGACACUGUCUACAUUUGUGACAGGAGCACAUAAGGUUCUUUGAUGUGGCAGGGGAGUCCCCUCAGUGGUAUGCUGGAAGGGACUGGUCACUUUUCAUAGCUGAGAAAUGCAAACUACCACUGAGGAAAAGUGCAAAUGUUGUUGUGUGGUUUAAAUUUACAUUCAUAAUGUAAAAUUCUGCAGAAAAAUCCUAACUGUACACACAAAUACAAUUAAUAUUCCCUGUGUAGCGGUACAAGCGAUUGCUCACCUAACAAUGCCACCCAAAACGUCUCCAAUUGCUUUACUAAUACUCAGUUUGCAGGAGCUGCUUACCACUCAGACAUGAACUUGGCAAUUAGAAAUGGAAACAAAAUUUCCAUUUCGCCCCUGGAUAGGGUGAACUCUGAGCAAACAGAGACUCAGUAGCUGUGUUGUACUCAGCUUUAGAGAUGCAAAAGCAGGAGGAAUUACCAAAAUCAACAAGAAACUAAUCUCUUUAAUCCUGGAAAUUUUUUAAACAAGUUUAAAUAAUUGAUACACUGUCAGAAGCAGCCUGGAUCCAUGGAAGGGAGAUUAAUAUUAAAUGAGAAUGCUUCUCCCUCUCUGUAUGGGAAAGUAUGGCAAAAUCAUGAGUCCUUUGCACACUACAAUUGGCAUAAGGUAAGCAAAGAGCUGGUGAAAUUGCUCCGUUUCCUUCUUCGCUCCAGAUUUCAGACACAAUCUGACCAGCAGGGUUGAGAGGAGAGUCUUUGUCCUUACAGGAGAUAGGAGCCAAGAAAUAUUGGAAACAAAAGGGAAGAGGAAAAAAACUAUCUGAAUGUCUAUGUUAAUAGUGUCCCUCUGCAACCUUGAGGUUUAUGUGUAUUAAGGCU